Molecule: long non-coding RNA, 909 nt
Organism: Pyrus x bretschneideri (Chinese white pear)
Lineage: Eukaryota; Viridiplantae; Streptophyta; Magnoliopsida; Rosales; Rosaceae
Exons: 3
Source: RefSeq, a predicted model, not a curated record
GCGACAUAAACUAUUGGUGUCGCUUCUAGGCGACACUAAUUCUUGUUUUUAAUAUUUUAAAUCCUGCGUCGGUUUUGAGCGACAUAUAUUUUGAAAACCAGUGUCGGUUGUAAGCGACACAUUGUUGCUCUUUAUAUCCUCUCCCCCGUGUUUUCUUUUUCUUCUCUUGCACUUUUCUUAUUCGUUCUUCCAAUUUUUACAAAGUCUCCCGUGUUCCUCUUUCAGCUUUCUCCUUUGGUUUUCAAACUUCAUUUGUUCCUCUAUUCUCUCUUUCAGCUUUCUCCUUUGGUUUUCAAAAUUCAUUUGUUCCUCUUCACAACAGAAAGUUAUUGGAGUUGGUUGAGUACAUAAAGAAUUGUUGACGUCGAAAUUCUUCAACAAAUCAGGUGUUGAAAAUUAAAAGAUUGCAAUCGUGAUAGAGUUCGAGGGGUGAAAGAUAGAAAUUGAAAAUUUUGAUAGUUAUGCCUACAUGAUAGGGAUUGAAAGAUUGUAGGCAUCUUAGUGUCAACGUAAUAUUUUACCUUCGUAAAGUGGUAAAAUAUGGACAAGAGUUGGUUGACAAUACCCCGAAAUUUUGAAGCGUAUACAACUGAAAUUAAUUUGUUUUUGGAUCAAGCAGUUGCAAAUGGUGUUGGUCCUGAUAAGUUUAGAUGUCCUUGCAAAAGAUGUUGUAAUCGAUAUUCUUUUGUUAGGAACACCAUUGUUGAACAUCUCAUAUUGUAUGAUAUGGAUAAAGAUUAUAAAAACGCUUGUUGGCGACAUCAUGGCGAGCAAAACAUUGGAGAGCAAAAUGUGGGAAUUGGAGAAGAAGAAACAGGAGAUGAGGUGAUUGGCAUGCAUGAUUUUCUUAAUGAUGUAUUUGUCCAACCAUUAACAGAAGAAGGUGUUGGGCCAUCUACUGAACCCCCU